UCGUAACAAGGUCUCCGUUGGUGAACCAGCGGAGGGAUCAUUACUGAGUACUACACUCUCUACCCUUUGUGAACUAUUAUACCUGUUGCUUCGGCGGCGCCCGCGAGGGUGCCCGCCGGUCUCAUCAGAAUCUCUGUUUUCGAACCCGACGAUACUUCUGAGUGUUCUUAGCGAACUGUCAAAACUUUUAACAACGGAUCUCUUGGCUCCAGCAUCGAUGAAGAACGCAGCGAAACGCGAUAUGUAAUGUGAAUUGCAGAAUUCAGUGAAUCAUCGAAUCUUUGAACGCACAUGGCGCCUUCCAGUAUCCUGGGAGGCAUGCCUGUCCGAGCGUCGUUUCAACCCUCGAGCCCCCGUGGCCCGGCGUUGGGGAUCUGCCACGGCAGGCCCCUAAAACCAGUGGCGGACCCGAAGGCCCUCUCCUUUGCGCAGUAGCAUCAGCCUCGCAUUGGGAUCCCUCGGCGUCCUGCCUCUAAACCCCCCACAAGUCCGCUCCGGCGGCACCAAGGUUGACCUCGGAUCAGGUAGGAAUACCCGCUGAACUUAAGCAUAUCAAUA
This 558-nucleotide ribosomal RNA is filed under the name Plectosphaerella cucumerina. RNAcentral describes it as "eukaryotic LSU rRNA". The stretch from base 183 to 336 matches the Rfam family "5.8S ribosomal RNA". Lineage: Eukaryota; Fungi; Ascomycota; Sordariomycetes; Glomerellales; Plectosphaerellaceae. The record is from RNAcentral.